RNAcentral lists this ribosomal RNA (253 nucleotides) under uncultured bacterium. RNAcentral describes it as "partial 16S ribosomal RNA". It matches the Rfam family "Bacterial small subunit ribosomal RNA", at positions 524 to 776 of the family's 1533-position model. The record is from RNAcentral.
UACGAAGGGUGCAAACGUUGCUCGGAAUUAUUGGGCGUAAAGCGCACGUAGGCGGCAUAGCAAGUUCGAUGUGAAAUCCCUCGGCUCAACCAAGGAAGUGCAUCGAAAACUGCUGUGCUUGAGUACGAAAGAGGAUCGCGGAAUUCCCGGUGUAGAGGUGAAAUUCGUAGAUAUCGGGAGGAACACCAGUGGCGAAGGCGGCGAUCUGGGUCGAUACUGACGCUGAGGUGCGAAAGCGUGGGGAGCGAACAGG